UUGCAUAUCAAAAAGCGGAGGAAAAGAAACCAACCGGGAUUGCCUUAGUAACGGCGAGUGAAGCGGCAAAAGCUCAAAUUUGAAAUCUGGUACCUUCGGUGCCCGAGUUGUAAUUUGGAGAGGGCAACUUUGGGGCCGUUCCUUGUCUAUGUUCCUUGGAACAGGACGUCAUAGAGGGUGAGAAUCCCGUGUGGCGAGGAGUGCGGUUCUUUGUAAAGUGCCUUCGAAGAGUCGAGUUGUUUGGGAAUGCAGCUCUAAGUGGGUGGUAAAUUCCAUCUAAAGCUAAAUAUUGGCGAGAGACCGAUAGCGAACAAGUACAGUGAUGGAAAGAUGAAAAGAACUUUGAAAAGAGAGUGAAAAAGUACGUGAAAUUGUUGAAAGGGAAGGGCAUUUGAUCAGACAUGGUGUUUUGUGCCCUCUGCUCCUUGUGGGUAGGGGAAUCUCGCAUUUCACUGGGCCAGCAUCAGUUUUGGUGGCAGGAUAAAUCCAUAGGAAUGUAGCUUGCCUCGGUAAGUAUUAUAGCCUGUGGGAAUACUGCCAGCUGGGACUGAGGACUGCGACGUAAGUCAAGGAUGCUGGCAUAAUGGUUAUAUGCCGCCCGUCUUGAA
Molecule: ribosomal RNA, 608 nt
Filed under: Saccharomyces cerevisiae (brewer's yeast)
Lineage: Eukaryota; Fungi; Ascomycota; Saccharomycetes; Saccharomycetales; Saccharomycetaceae
Description: partial large subunit ribosomal RNA
Rfam family: Eukaryotic large subunit ribosomal RNA
Source: RNAcentral